CCUACGGGAGGCAGCAGUGAGGAAUAUUGGUCAAUGGGCGCGAGCCUGAACCAGCCAAGUAGCGUGAAGGAUGACUGCCCUACGGGUUGUAAACUUCUUUUAUAAAGGAAUAAAGUGAGGCACGUGUGCCUUUUUGUAUGUACGUUAUGAAUAAGGAUCGGCUAACUCCGUGCCAGCAGCCGCGGUAAUACGGAGGAUCCGAGCGUUAUCCGGAUUUAUUGGGUUUAAAGGGAGCGUAGAUGGGUUGUUAAGUCAGUUGUGAAAGUUUGCGGCUCAACCGUAAAAUUGCAAUUGAUACUGGCAGUCUUCAGUACAGUUGCGGUCGGCGGACUUCGUGGUGUAGCGGUGAACUUCUUAGAUAUCACGCAGAACUCCGAUUGCGAAGGCAGCUUACUACACUGCCACUGACAUUGCUGCUCGAAAGUGUGGGUAUCAAACAGGAUUAGAUACCCGUGUAGUC
RNAcentral lists this ribosomal RNA (460 nucleotides) under uncultured bacterium. RNAcentral describes it as "partial 16S ribosomal RNA". It matches the Rfam family "Bacterial small subunit ribosomal RNA", at positions 338 to 795 of the family's 1533-position model. The record is from RNAcentral.